UUCAAUGAUAUAGACGUCUAUCAAAUUAUAUGUUGUUUUAAAGACAAUUGAGAAGGUUGUGUUAACGAUCAGAUAAUUCAAUUACAGGAAGGUCCGGAUAAUACCUCACUGGUAACUGUUUAUGUGCUGCUUUUUAUAAAAUGUUGUAGCACUUCACUGUUUCUGGAUAGGUUAACGCAUUUCAUCCUAUGAACAAUAUAUGACGCGUGGAGUGAUUAAGCAUAAAGGCAAAACUGAAUUCCGCAGUCGAAAAAUCAAAAAGGAUACGCAGCUGGAUCGAAUUAUCUACCUAACCACGGAUCUUCAUCUAACACACUGUGUCUACCAAAUGACCCGGAAUUAUUCAACGAUACAUUUUUUUAUACAGAAAGCUUGCUUUAUGGCUCUGAAUACGAACAUAACACUUUUACAUCUGAUUCAGCUCAGGAAGACAUGCCUUGUGUUGUAUGCAGAAUGAAACACUCAGCAACAACACUUAUGAUACCGGAUAGAAAGUCGUGUUACAGAAAAUGGAACAUUGAAUAUAUAGGGUUAUUAUCUUCCGGUGCCAAUUUUCACAGUCCGUCGACUUAUUUAUGCGUAGAUAGCCAUCCGGAGUACAUACCAUCAGGUCAAGAAGACAAAAAUGGCAACCUUUUUUACGUUGUCGGUUACAAAUGUGGAUCUAUUCCUUGUCCUUCGUAUCACGACAACAGGAUUGCCUACUGUGUCGUUUGUUCUAAAUAAAGGAUAGCGAAGAAAAACUUAAGUUUAUUAUGACUUUUUACAUAUAGCCACCAGUGAGGAAUAGUCAUUCAUUUUGCAAUCUAGAUAGUCUAAAUGGGGUCUUUGUUUCUUUAUUUUUUAAUUUUAUGUACCAUUUUCUCUAUUCUUUAUUUUGUCCCUUUUAUUCUCUUUUUCUUCAUAUUUUAGCACAUCAUUAAUGUCUAUCUCUGUUUUUUUUUGGCUCAUUAUUCUCUACUCUUUAUUUGUUUGCUCAUUAUUCUCAAUCCUUUAUUUUUUUUUUAAUAAUAUCCAUAUAAAGAUGA
Long non-coding RNA from Mytilus californianus (California mussel), 1028 nucleotides. RefSeq lists it as uncharacterized. Lineage: Eukaryota; Metazoa; Mollusca; Bivalvia; Mytilida; Mytilidae. The record is from RefSeq and is a predicted model, not a curated record. The transcript has 3 exons.